Molecule: ribosomal RNA, 760 nt
Filed under: uncultured Glomeromycotina
Lineage: Eukaryota; Fungi; Glomeromycota
Description: SSU rRNA
Rfam family: Eukaryotic small subunit ribosomal RNA
Source: RNAcentral
GGCCUACCAUGGUGGUAACGGGUAACGGGGAAUUAGGGUUCGAUUCCGGAGAGGGAGCCUGAGAAACGGCUACCACUUCCAAGGAAGGCAGCAGGCGCGCAAAUUACCCAAUCCCGACACGGGGAGGUAGUGACAAUAAAUAACAAUACGGGGCUCUUUCGGGUCUCGUAAUUGGAAUGAGUACAAUUUAAAUCCCUUAACGAGGAACAAUUGGAGGGCAAGUCUGGUGCCAGCAGCCGCGGUAAUUCCAGCUCCAAUAGCGUAUAUUAAAGUUGUUGCAGUUAAAAAGCUCGUAGUUGAAUUUCGGGAUUGACGUAAUGGUCAUGCCUUAAGGGGUAUGAACUGUUACUGUUGAUUUCUCACCUUCUGGAAAAACUUGAUGUCCUUAAUUGGGUGUCUUGCGGAUCCAGGACCUUUACCUUGAAAAAAUUAGAGUGUUUAAAGCAGGCAUUUUGCUCGAAUACAUUAGCAUGGAAUAAUAGAAUAGGACGGCAUGGUUCUAUUUUGUUGGUUUCUAGGAUCACCGUAAUGAUUAAUAGGGAUAGUUGGGGGCAUUAGUAUUCAAUUGUCAGAGGUGAAAUUCUUGGAUUUAUUGAAGACUAACUACUGCGAAAGCAUUUGCCAAGGAUGUUUUCAUUAAUCAAGAACGAAAGUUAGGGGAUCGAAGACGAUCAGAUACCGUCGUAGUCUUAACCAUAAACUAUGCCGACUAGGAAUCAGACGAUGUUAAUUUUUUAAUGACUCGGUUUGGCACCUUACG